CUUGUGUAUCCUGCAGGGAACACACUGCCACAUGCAGUCCAUCACACUAGGACUUGAGACACCUUUGGGAGAUUAUGUAAUAAUCGAGCGCACAGCUAACAACGGCCAGUUUCCUUUAUCAUCGUUACUUUAUUGCCCCAUAGCAGAAGUGUCCACGUGGCGGGGCUGGAAACUGGAAGUAUCCUGAGCUAAUUCUGCUACCACCAUCAUCUAGUGAUGGCUCCCACUGAUUGUCGCUGGAAGCUUGCGUCCUUCUCAGGACGGAUGAUGGCUGCGAUGUCAACAUUUGGAACAUGGAAGAUGGACACGAAAGAAGAAGAUCCUAUUAAUGUUUUGCGUAUCUUUCAUUCAUUUGUUCUAUAUCGCUCUACAUCACCAUCUAUAUCUUUCAUUUCCCUUUCCCCUGACUUCCUGUCUAAAGAAGGGUCUCGACCCGAAACGUCACUUAUUCCUUUUCUCCAGAGAUGCUGUCUGACCCAUUGGGUAUUUUAUGUCUUGUCUUUAUGCAGUCGUACUUUUAAGUUAAGAAAGGAGAAAACAAGAAACUAGACCAGUUAGCCUGAUGUUACAAAAAGAUAAAAGACUGUAAUCAAUAAUUAAAACAGUGGUAAUGGGACACAGAAAAUAGUGAUAUGUGGCAGAGUCAACAUGAAAGGGAAAUAUUUUUUGUCAAAUCAGUUGGAAUUCUUUGGGAUUGUAAGGAAUCAAGUUGAUGUAAGCAGGUUUGGAGAAUUCGAAUUAAUAAUGAAGAAAUACUUCAAGGUUGCAAGGAAACUAUGUUCAUUCAGGUAUUGUGAAAUACAGGAUUGAACAAGUUGCAAGUCACACACACUUCUGAUCGAUGGGUCUUCACUGAUGUGAGCAGCAGCUGGAGGGUCUAAGUGUUGCGGCCUUCUGUCAUGGGUCCUAGCACCAUUCUGGAUCCCAGUCUGAGGUGCAGUUCAGUGAGCUUGUUGACUGCAUGCACAUAGAAACCCAGGCUUCUUCCCCAAUCUACAAACAAUUGUGUUAUUAAAACUGGGCAUCCUCCUUACUGAUGGAAACAGAGGUUAUUUAACAUAUCAGGGCUGAGCUGGUCUUGGCAGUCUCUUGGAAGAAAGGAUUGUCUUGUCUUGUUGCUAUGUGACUUUGAGGUUGCAUGAUCUGAAGCUCGUGAUUCACUAGUUCAUCCAACUGAGCCCGUUUAGUUUUCUAAGCACCUAAUUGUUUGUUUUCCUAAGUGUGUCUGCUUGCCCAGCAUAGGGAUUGUUAGCAGACAACCCUGUUUUAGCUGAAAAUCCUGUUUUAACUUUAAAUUACACUUGAUAAGGGGGGGUUAAUUGGUGGUAUAUUUGGUCUUCCAGAAGCCCUUGGAGAAGACACCAUUCAAGAGGUUGUAAAAACAAUUUAGAGCACACAUGGGAUUGAGGUCAAUGUACUAAUGUUGAUAGAGGAUUAGUUAACAGGCAGAAAAGAGACCAAAGGAAAUGGAUAAUUUUCAGGUGGAAGGCAGUGACUAGUGGUGCUGAGACCAUGGGUCAUUUGCUGUCUCGUUAGUGUAAGUGAGGAAACUUAUUACUCUUGAUUUUUUUUCUCCCAUGUUAAAAAAUUAUGUAAAUUAAAAAUAAAAUUUAUAUUUUUGAUGUAAAUACCAUAGAAACAUAGAAAAUAGAUGUGGUUAUGGGAUAUAUUCUAGAUAAUAAAAUCAAGGAGAGUAAUUGGAUCUGUUUGCUCAUUCUCUGAAAGGUAUUUUGGUUGUAACAUUUCUUGUCUUGAGGUUUUCCCAGUCCAAGUCGAAUCGACAUCCUCUGUCCCCUGGUUCACAUCGGCUGAAUAAGCUCAAGGGAAGUAUUUAAGGAGAAGGCAGUGAGUACGUAUUAGAAAUUCUAUGAAAACUAGUUAAAAUUUUAUUACUUGAAUAAUAUGCAGAGGAACGAGCUAGAUAUGGAUUUAUGUUAAACAUUAAUAUUCAGUUAAUCUGUUAGUUUGAUAUGAUGGGAAAAGUGGAAACCGACUUUUCGUCAGCUUUCUGUCUUUGACCAAUACAUUUUGCAAAUAUAAAGUGUAGCAGUUAAACCCAUUUUUUCUCAGAGUGCCGCAGGUAUCGUGGCUGAGCCCCAGGUCAGUAAUCUGAAUGAGGAAACCAAGUGCACUGUGUCCAUGUCUGCUGAUGUAUCAGUGUAAAAGCAAGGAACUGCAGAUGCUGGUUUCACAAAAAUAAGACACAAAGAGCUGGAGUAACUCAGCUGGUCAGGCAGCAUCUCUGGAGAACGUUGAGACGUGACGUUAUGGGUCAGACCCUUCUUGAGACUCAUUGGUCAGUCUGAAGAAGGGUCCUGACCCAAAACGUCACCUAUCCACAUUCUCCUGCUAUGCUGCCUGACCCGCUGAGUUACUCCAGCACUAAGUAUCAGCGUACCUUGUGCGCAAAAUACAAACAGGCAUCAGAGGCGUUUAGACAAGCAAGUGAAUGGAGGAGGAUGGGACAAAUGAAAUAUAAAGAUGAAAUAAGUGUGGUCACACACUUCUGUAGAAUAAAGCAAAUACUGGUCGUUUCUUUAUAACGUGAAAGAUUGGGAGUAGGUUGGUAAUCCAAGUGCAUUCCUUGUGCACACAUUAUACAAAGCUGAUGUGUGCGUGCAAUAUGGAAUUAGGAAGGUAUGCCAACUUGUGGAGGAUAUCCAGCAGCUUUAAUAUUGUCCUUUUCACUAAACUAAACAGUUCAGCGCCACCAGAAAAAAAUGUGAGAUAACAUAGAACUAGCGUGAACGGGUGAUUGAUGGUUAGUAUGGACUCGGUGGGCCGAAGGGCCUGCUUCCACGCAGUAUCCCUGAACUGAACUAAGAAGGUAUUUUCAUUGUGCUCCUUUACUGGAUUCCAGUUACUAAAAUAUUUCAUGAGGCUAAGUAGCUUUAAUAUUAUUUUUACAUGGUUAUUUAAUUCACAAAUUGCAAUCCUUGGUUACAGGUUUCCACAUCUACGAUCGAGAUGAACUUGUAUUGCUGGUUCAGUGAGUGGAAUCUGCAACUCCAGCUGCUCGCGUGAAAUCUUGGCUUCUCCCUCCAGAAGAUUCAAGUCCAGCAUUCGAAUGGAAGGACAGAAGUCAUGUAAUGGGCGGAAUUGUCAUCAUGAGGUGGGGAACAGAACCAAGGAUCUCUGGAAAAAUGUGGAUUUGAGACAUUACCCAAGGGAAUUAAAGUGAGGAUUUUGCCAAUAUCCCAGAAUCUAAAGUAAACAAGCAUCAUCUGAUGCUGGUACCAACCCUACAAAACACAGGUGGGUUUCCUCUGGGUGCUCCGGUUUCCUCCCACAUCCCAAAGACGGGCGGGUUUGGCCCCUGUGAAUUGCCGAGUGUGUCGGAUGCCAAACUGGGAUAACAUAGAACAAGUGUACAGGUGAGUGUUGGUCAGGACAGACUGGGUGAGCCGAAGGGCUAGUUUCCAUGCUGUAUCCAUACACUAAACUAACUGCUGGUUAAACAACAUCUUGUGAACCUUUUGUUAUGUGUCACGUUGGCAGUAACCUCUGUAAAUACCAAUCUUGCUUUACUUCUGCUAUUCUGCAACAAUCAGAUUUGUGAUUUGAGAAAUCCCAAAUCAAAAUACUGCAGAUGCUGGGAGUCUAAAGUAGAAACAGAAAACAUCAGAGGUAUACAAUGUGUCAGAAAACAUCUGUGAAGGGAGAAACACUGCGAAAACAUUGCAAUGUAACUCUGGUUCUCUCUUCAUAGGUUCUACCUGACAUACUGUUACCUCCAGCAUUUAUUCUCAUUUGAGCGUCCAGGAGCGGAAAAGACAGCAAAAAGUUGUAAACACUGCCCGGUCCAUCAUCGGCUCUGACCUCCCUACCAUCGAGGGGAUCUAUCGCAGUCGCUGCCUCAAAAAGGCUGCCAGCAUCAUCAAGGACCCACACCAUCCUGGCCACACACUCAUCUCUCCGUUGCCUUCGGGUAAAAGGUACAGGAGCCUGCAAUCUGCAACAUCCAGGUUCAGGAAUAGCCACUUCCCCACAGUCAUCAGGCUAUAGACUCAGCUCAAACAAAACUGAACAUUAAUAGCCCAUUGAACGUUAUAUGUGUGUAUGUAUAUAUAUAUAUUCAAUGGUAUAUGGACACACUGAUCAGUUCUGUAUUUAUUUUUGCCUACUGUAUUUUGUUGUGUUGAAGCAAAGCAAGAAUUUCAUUGUCCUAUCUGGGACACAUGACAAUAAACUCUCUUGAAUGUCUUGAAUCUCAUUUAACUUGUAAAAUCUCUCCACUACAAUGACUGCAUCUUUUGUUAAUUUUCUAGCUCUGUUCUUUCCUUGGCCAAGUGGAAAAUGCAGAGACACGCUCAGGUUUCAGUUUAGUAUGGUCACCUGUACGGGGGUUUAGUUUUGCAGGCUAUCCAGUAAAACAGAUAACAUGGCACAUAGAUAAUAUUGAGCCAAACUCAAGUACCGUCGACAGAGCAAAGGGGGAGAUACAGAGUAUCUAGUUAACAUACUCUUCAGAGAAUAUAUUUAAAGGAGUAGCGUGUUUGUACUGAAUGAUAGUACAUCCUCCUAUGGGACCAGUGGCAAGGAGUUGCCCUGCUCUGAUGCCUUCUUAGUCCUUCAGUUAGUCGUUGACCUGUUUCAUUUGACCAUUUGAAAUAUAUACAACCGGCAUGAAUUGAACUGGCUCCUGGUGUUCCUGCUCUCCUCACCUAGAAGUGUCUAACCUUUCAAUGUUGUGUAUUUGCUAUUGAGAGAUGCCAGGUUACCACGAGAAGCAGUUUUCCUGUUGAUGUACAUAUGAGGAUAUUUACAGCGUUGAUGCUGGUCCAGCAGAUCGAAAGACUGUUCAUGUCUCCCACAUACACACAGUAAAACUACGUGGAACUAAUCUAGGUGUUCUUAAGUGUAAUUCUGACCUCCAGAUUUCUACGAUUGUGACUGAGUUGGCUCUGUAAGGCAGGGUGUAAAUGUGGCCGGGAUGUAGGACUUAAAGUUGCUGUUAUCUGAACUUUAUUUAACCCACAUUGUAAGAUCUGAGAGUGCUUAAGAUGCACAUAGAGUGAAAAGAGAAAGGAGAAAUCUGUUGUUUUGCAAAUCCUUACGAGCACAAGCAGACACAAGAGAAGCAAUCUACAUAUUCAUCAUGUGGAUUAGUACUGAACUCCCCACUUUCCAGGGUCCCUGAUGCA
This is a long non-coding RNA of Leucoraja erinaceus (little skate), 5144 nucleotides long. RefSeq lists it as uncharacterized. NCBI's taxonomy places the organism in Eukaryota, Metazoa, Chordata, Chondrichthyes, Rajiformes, Rajidae. The transcript has 3 exons. The record is from RefSeq and is a predicted model, not a curated record.